GACUAAUUAAUAUUUUUAAUAUUUUAUUUUGGUUUAUUACAGAUGGAUCUGACUAGGGUGGGUCAAAUGUUGGAAGCAUUGUGCAGCGAGUGCUGAGUGAAACACAGCUCUUGGCCAAUUCACCAACACAGCGCUGGGUCUGCCUCAAAGGCAUUGCGUUUUAUCUGCUCACACCUUCUCUCAGGAAAGAAAGGAAAAAAGCAUUAUUUGUACCCACUGACUCUGCCUUGGAAGACCUCUUGCCUCACGUGGAGAAUUGCUUUGCUUCGUUGUGGGGAGAUAAGUGAAAUUUUUACAUUCCAUUGGUAGAAGAGAGAGGCAAAAUUGGAUCCUUGAAGACCCCUACCAUCACCUCUAUCAUUAUCCCUGCCCUGAUGACAAGAGGGAGCACGCUGUCACCAUCCUCCCGGUAAUACCCUCAUUACAUGUGUCAUCAGAGGAUGUUUGCCAUAUCUGCUUUAACACCACACACA
This 473-nucleotide long non-coding RNA is filed under the name Fukomys damarensis (Damara mole-rat). RNAcentral describes it as "lncRNA (ENSFDAG00000032611.1)". The record is from RNAcentral. Lineage: Eukaryota; Metazoa; Chordata; Mammalia; Rodentia; Bathyergidae.